GUGAAAGCAGAGCUUGCUCUGUGGAUCAGUGGCGAACGGGUGAGUAACACGUGAGCAAUCUGCCCCUGACUCUGGGAUAAGCGCUGGAAACGGCGUCUAAUACCGGAUACGAGCUGCGAAGGCAUCUUCAGCAGCUGGAAAGAAUUUCGGUCAGGGAUGAGCUCGCGGCCUAUCAGCUUGUUGGUGAGGUAACGGCUCACCAAGGCGUCGACGGGUAGCCGGCCUGAGAGGGUGACCGGCCACACUGGGACUGAGACACGGCCCAGACUCCUACGGGAGGCAGCAGUGGGGAAUAUUGCACAAUGGGCGAAAGCCUGAUGCAGCAACGCCGCGUGAGGGACGACGGCCUUCGGGUUGUAAACCUCUUUUAGCAGGAAAGAAGCGAAAGUGACGGUACCUGCAGAAAAAGCGCCGGCUAACUACGUGCCAGCAGCCGCGGUAAUACGUAGGGCGCAAGCGUUAUCCGGAAUUAUUGGGCGUAAAGAGCUCGUAGGCGGUCUGUCGCGUCUGCUGUGAAAACCCGAGGCUCAACCUCGGGCCUGCAGUGGGUACGGGCAGACUAGAGUGCGGUAGGGGAGAUUGGAAUUCCUGGUGUAGCGGUGGAAUGCGCAGAUAUCAGGAGGAACACCGAUGGCGAAGGCAGAUCUCUGGGCCGUAACUGACGCUGAGGAGCGAAAGGGUGGGGAGCAAACAGGCUUAGAUACCCUGGUAGUCCACCCCGUAAACGUUGGGAACUAGUUGUGGGGUCCAUUCCACGGAUUCCGUGACGCAGCUAACGCAUUAAGUUCCCCGCCUGGGGAGUACGGCCGCAAGGCUAAAACUCAAAGGAAUUGACGGGGACCCGCACAAGCGGCGGAGCAUGCGGAUUAAUUCGAUGCAACGCGAAGAACCUUACCAAGGCUUGACAUAUACGAGAACGGGCCAGAAAUGGUCAACUCUUUGGACACUCGUAAACAGGUGGUUGCAUGGUUGUCGUCAGCUCGUGUCGUGAGAUGUUUGGGUUAAGUCCCGCAACGAGCGCAACCCUUCGUUCUAUG
RNAcentral lists this ribosomal RNA (1037 nucleotides) under marine bacterium BL40_009. RNAcentral's name for it is "bacterial SSU rRNA". It matches the Rfam family "Bacterial small subunit ribosomal RNA", at positions 68 to 1115 of the family's 1533-position model. The record is from RNAcentral.